Long non-coding RNA from Lynx canadensis (Canada lynx), 1659 nucleotides. RefSeq lists it as uncharacterized. The transcript has 3 exons. Lineage: Eukaryota; Metazoa; Chordata; Mammalia; Carnivora; Felidae. The record is from RefSeq and is a predicted model, not a curated record.
UAAUGUUGUCUUUGAACUUGCGUUUUGUAAAUGAAGUCCAAUCGGAUGGCAGAGGAUUCAUGUGGGCUGAGUAGUUACAUGCAAUAUGGAUGCCCAUUGGUCCUUGUUCUUACUGCCUAUUUAUUUGUGCCAUUAGAGAUUCCCCCAUGAUCAUGGAAUUUCACAGGAUUCGUGAUGUGCCAGAGCCCAGGGAAGACUUGAAACAAAUAGGAGGAGAGCGACCGGGGACUUGACCUUCCUCUCCUCCGCGGCAGCCAGGUGUUUGGUUUGUUUGCAGCAGAGGCAGGAGCAGCCGUGUGGUUGUGGCUCAGAAACGCCGCGUUCUGCGGUCUUCUUCCCGAGAUCGCAUUCUAGCAAGAACAGCUCCUUGAGGACCAACAUCACCAUCUCUUCUGCUUUGGAAAUGAACCAGAAGUAUUUAUCCCGUGGCCCUGGUGCGUCAACCUUUCACUUUACGGAACCGAACCGUGGGACGUUGAAGUCCAGUUAGGGGGAAACCAGACACACAAGGGAAAUGAUGAGGGAGGAAGGCGGGUCUGGACCUUGAAUGCUUGCUGUGCGCCAGGCACUAUGUCCUGCAUUUCGUGUUACGUCUUCCUCAUUUUAAUCCUCCGCAGAGUUACGAGCGGGAAGUCUUUGCCUCUUUUUGGUAAAGAUGUGAAUAUUGAUUAGCAAGAAUCGACCCAGGUGCCUGGGCAUCAAACCCACGUAGGCGGUGACUGUUAGAAUAACCCUGCCACCCCCCCUCCCCACCUUGUGACUUUCCUGAUAACCUUGGGAAGCAAGGGUGGACCUACCGUUAACACUGUUUUAUGUAUUAGGAAAAUACGACCCAGGAAAUACUGGAUCAUUCACGUACACACUCGAUGUCAGACAGAAAGUCAGUUCUUAAACCCAGUGAGGUGUUUUGGCUGUUGAUCUGAUAAUCAGACAUUCAGAUGCCGUUUAGAUAUUCAUAUUCUCAGGAAGUGACUCUCAGGAUGGUGUCUCUGCACUGCGGGUGGCUUUGACUUUGAAGCGGGGUUUUGGAAUGCUACGUUUCAUGUGUGAGAUGGGGGCCCUUUGGUCACAAUGUGUCAGCCAUCGUCUGACAGUAGUGGACCCAGCAUGGGUUUGGGGGUCAGAAGAUAGAAUCCUGGCCCUGGCUCUGCCACAGACUGGCUGGAUGACCUUGGGGACUUGAUUCUUCCUGGUCCUAUGUUUCUCCUCCGCAAAUAGAAGACACUGCGCUUCAUGAUUUCUGAGAUUUGUUAAAAAAUCUGAUGCUGUGCAUCAGAAUCGCUGGAUGGCCCCAAGGGACUGGUAAGAAGCCCAGAGGCAUAUGGAGGCGGAGAUUUGUCCCCUGUCAUCUCAGCAAGAAGGGAAUCCCCCACCAUGGGCAAUGCCUCUUACGGCAUGGCGCAGACAUGAUGAGGCAGCCAAGUCCUCAUUAAUGUCAUGAUUACAGUGACAAGUCUGCUGGGGGCCUGAAGGCACCCAAUUUGCCCUCCGAGUACUUGCAAGUAGAAAUCCUUCAUGCGCUCUCUGGCCACAGAACAGAGAGUCCUAGAACAAAGCCUGUUUUGAUCUUUUGUCUUGGCGCGGGGUGAGACCUUAUCUCCAGCGUAAACUACGCUGCUUGUAUUGUUUGCAUGCCCUCAGUAAAAAAGGAAAACACAA